Molecule: ribosomal RNA, 370 nt
Filed under: Boulenophrys acuta (Fengkai horned toad)
Lineage: Eukaryota; Metazoa; Chordata; Amphibia; Anura; Megophryidae
Description: partial 16S ribosomal RNA
Rfam family: Bacterial large subunit ribosomal RNA
Source: RNAcentral
UUUUUAAAUGAAGACUAGUAUGAACGGCCACACGAGGACCUAACUGUCUCCUUAAUCUAAUCAGUGAAACUGAUCCCCCCGUGCAAAAGCGGGGAUACUACCAUAAGACGAGAAGACCCUAUGGAGCUUUAAACUUUUAUUAAUUAUUUUAUUCACCUCUCCAAGGAGUUAACAAUCAAUUAAAUUUUUUUAAUAAAAGUUUUGGGUUGGGGCGACCAUGGAGAAAAAAAAAUCCUCCCUGAUGACAACCUAACCAAGAGUCACAACUCUAAGUAUUAAGAUACUUAACUCCUAUUGACCCAUUUUAUGAUCAACGAACCAAGUUACCCUAGGGAUAACAGCGCAAUCCAUUUCAAGAGUCCCUAUCGAC